CCUACGGGUGGCUGCAGUGGGGAAUAUUGCACAAUGGGGGAAACCCUGAUGCAGCAACGCCGCGUGAGUGAAGAAGUAUUUCGGUAUGUAAAGCUCUAUCAGCAGGGAAGAAGAUGACGGUACCUGAGUAAGAAGCCCCGGCUAACUACGUGCCAGCAGCCGCGGUAAUACGUAGGGGGCAAGCGUUAUCCGGAUUUACUGGGUGUAAAGGGAGCGUAGACGGUGAGACAAGUCUGAAGUGAAAGCCCGGGGCUCAACCCCGGGACUGCUUUGGAAACUGCCUGACUGGAGUGCUGGAGAGGCAAGCGGAAUUCCUAGUGUAGCGGUGAAAGGCGUAGAUAUAUGGAAGAACACCAGUGGCGAAAGCGGCUCUCUGGUCUGUAACUGACGCUGAGGUUCGAAAGCGUGGGUAGCAAACAGGAUUAGAUACCCGAGUAGUC
Molecule: ribosomal RNA, 440 nt
Filed under: uncultured bacterium
Lineage: Bacteria
Description: partial 16S ribosomal RNA
Rfam family: Bacterial small subunit ribosomal RNA
Source: RNAcentral